CCUACGGGUGGCAGCAGUGAGGAAUAUUGGGCAAUGGACGCAACUCUGACCCAGCAAAGCCGCGUGAAUGAUGAAGGUCUUCGGGUUGGAAAGUUCUUUUCUACGGGGAGAAGAAAGUGACGAUACCUUAGGAAUAAGCCUCGGCUAACUACAUGCCAGCAGCCGCGGUAAUACGUAGGAGGCAGGCGUUAUCCGGAAUGACUGGGCGUAAAGGGUGCGUAGGGGGUUUGUCAAGUUAGUCGGGCAACUCCGGGGCUCAACUCCGGAACUACUACUAAAACUGGUGGCCUUGAGUGCAGGAGAGGUAAGCGGAAUUCCUGGUGUAGCGGUGGAAUGCGUAGAUAUUAGGAGGAACACCAGUGGCGAAGGCAGAUUGCUAGCCUGUAACUGACACUGAGGCACGAAAGCGUGGGGAGCGAACAGGAUUAGAUACCCCGGUAGUC
RNAcentral lists this ribosomal RNA (443 nucleotides) under uncultured bacterium. RNAcentral describes it as "partial 16S ribosomal RNA". It matches the Rfam family "Bacterial small subunit ribosomal RNA", at positions 338 to 795 of the family's 1533-position model. The record is from RNAcentral.